RNAcentral lists this ribosomal RNA (484 nucleotides) under uncultured bacterium. RNAcentral's name for it is "partial 16S ribosomal RNA". It matches the Rfam family "Bacterial small subunit ribosomal RNA", at positions 30 to 507 of the family's 1533-position model. The record is from RNAcentral.
AUUGAGCGCUGGCGGCAGGCCUAACACAUGCAAGUCGAGCGGAUGAAGGGAGCUUGCUCCUGGAUUCAGCGGCGGACGGGUGAGUAAUGCCUAGGAAUCUGCCUGGUAGUGGGGGAUAACGUCCGGAAACGGGCGCUAAUACCGCAUACGUCCUGAGGGAGAAAGUGGGGGAUCUUCGGACCUCACGCUAUCAGAUGAGCCUAGGUCGGAUUAGCUAGUUGGUGGGGUAAAGGCCUACCAAGGCGACGAUCCGUAACUGGUCUGAGAGGAUGAUCAGUCACACUGGAACUGAGACACGGUCCGGACUCCUACGGGAGGCAGCAGUGGGGAAUAUUGGACAAUGGGCGAAAGCCUGAUCCAGCCAUGCCGCGUGUGUGAAGAAGGUCUUCGGAUUGUAAAGCACUUUAAGUUGGGAGGAAGGGCAGUAAGUUAAUACCUUGCUGUUUUGACGUUACCAACAGAAUAAGCACCGGCUAACUUCGUG